RNAcentral lists this ribosomal RNA (462 nucleotides) under uncultured bacterium. Its description in RNAcentral is "bacterial SSU rRNA". It matches the Rfam family "Bacterial small subunit ribosomal RNA", at positions 29 to 526 of the family's 1533-position model. The record is from RNAcentral.
AACGAACGCUGGCGGCAUGCCUAACACAUGCAAGUCGAACGGGAUCCGGACUUCGGUUCGGUGAGAGUGGCGGACGGGUGAGUAACGCGUGGGAAUCUGCCCAGUGGUGGGGGAUAACUGCGGGAAACUGCAGCUAAUACCGCAUGAGCCCGAGAGGGGAAAGAUUUAUCGCCAUUGGAGGGGCCCGCGUUCGAUUAGGUAGUUGGUGAGGUAACGGCUCACCAAGCCGACGAUCGAUAGCUGGUCUGAGAGGAUGAUCAGCCACACUGGGACUGAGAUACGGCCCAGACUCCUACGGGAGGCAGCAGUGGGGAAUAUUGGACAAUGGGGGCAACCCUGAUCCAGCAAUGCCGCGUGAGUGAUGAAGGCCUUCGGGUUGUAAAGCUCUUUUGCCAGGGACGAUGAUGACGGUACCUGGAGAAUAAGCCCCGGCUAACUUCGUGCCAGCAGCCGCAGUAACAC